AGAGUAGAGUGGCGCACGGGUGAGUAACGCGUAAGUUAUCUACCCUCCCAUCUGGAAUAACUCACCGAAAGGUGUGCUAAUACCGGAUACGUUGGAAACAAGAAAGGUGGCCUCUAUUUAUACGCUACCGUGGGGGGAUGAGCUUGCGUACCAUUAGCUAGUUGGUAGGGUAAUGGCCUACCAAGGCAACGAUGGUUAGCGGGUCUGAGAGGAUGAUCCGCCACACUGGAACUGGAACACGGACCAGACUCCUACGGGAGGCAGCAGUGAGGAAUAUUGCGCAAUGGGGGAAACCCUGACGCAGCGACGCCGCGUGGAUGAUGAAGGCCUUUGGGUCGUAAAAUCCUGUCAGAUGGAAAGAAAUGCUAUUGGUUUAAUAUGCCUUUAGUUUGACGGUACCAUCAAAGGAAGCACCGGCUAACUCCGUGCCAGCAGCCGCGGUAAUACGGAGGGUGCAAGCGUUGUUCGGAAUUACUGGGCGUAAAGCGCGCGUAGGUGGUCAUAUAAGUCAGAUGUGAAAGUCCACGGCUCAACCGUGGAAGUGCAUUUGAAACUGUAUGACUUGAGUAUUGGAGGGGGUAGUGGAAUUCCCGGUGUAGAGGUGAAAUUCGUAGAUAUCGGGAGGAAUACCGGUGGCGAAGGCGACUACCUGGCCAAAUACUGACACUGAGGUGCGAAAGCGUGGGGAGCAAACAGGAUUAGAUACCCUGGUAGUCCACGCCGUAAACGAUGUCAACUAGGUGUUGGGAAGGUUAAUCUUCUCAUUGCCGCAGCUAACGCAUUAAGUUGACCGCCUGGGGAGUACGGUCGCAAGA
RNAcentral lists this ribosomal RNA (815 nucleotides) under delta proteobacterium FM1B-G11. RNAcentral describes it as "bacterial SSU rRNA". It matches the Rfam family "Bacterial small subunit ribosomal RNA", at positions 87 to 893 of the family's 1533-position model. The record is from RNAcentral. Lineage: Bacteria; Deltaproteobacteria.